Molecule: long non-coding RNA, 574 nt
Organism: Equus quagga
Lineage: Eukaryota; Metazoa; Chordata; Mammalia; Perissodactyla; Equidae
Exons: 3
Source: RefSeq, a predicted model, not a curated record
UCCGCGAGGAGGCUGUUUUGUCCCUGAAGUUUUGAGCAGAACGAAAUAUCAAUGGUUGGGAGUAAAGGGGGCCCUGCCUCCCAUAAUCCUGAAAUCCAGCUCCCAGGAGGCACGGGGAGAGCCUGAGGCCUGAACAGAACCCUGCCAUCACCACUUCAACAAGCCCAGAUAAGCCUGCUACAAGACGAGAGACCACAUGGAGCAGAGAUGAGUCAGCUGGGGUCAUCCAAACCAGCUAGCCCCCAGCCAACCCUCCAGCUGACAGAAGACACAUGCAUGCACCCAAGAGAGAACAGAAGAACCACCCAGCUGAGCCCAGCCCAAGCUGCUGAUCCACAGAAUCAGGAACUAAGUGAAGAAACUGAAGCUCAGAGAGGUUAACUGAGGCCCAAGGCCACCAGCUAGUAAUGGAUAGGACAGGCAUUCGAACUCAAGUCUGUCUGACUCCUCUCCCGCAUGGGUCAAAGGACAUCUCCAGUUACCUUAACUAGCUGCCUACAGAGGAAAGUGGAGGAAAGCGCUACAGAGCAAAGGUCAAAACUGCACUCACCUUUUCCCAGAGGAGGCGGAUCGG